ACCUGGGAAUUCACUUUAGUUCCUAUCUUUACCCUAGGUGUCGUGUAGAAGCAACUCAUUUACUUCACAUCUCACUAUGAUGCACCCCAUCUUGGAGAAGUGAUCAACUAAAAUGCAGGAGUCAUGACCAUGUUGCAUCUUUGGCAGCUCGAAGGCAAGAUCUAUGAUCUUCCCAUGGUCCACUUGGUACAGGUAACAGAAUUGUACAGCCUAGUGUUUGUGUACAUCCUUACCAAGUUGGCAUGCUCGACAUAGUUGCCCAACAGUCUCAACAUCUCUCUUGACGCCAAGCUUGUAGAAAUGGUCUUCAAGAAUCAUGGUUGUUGUCUUAAUCCUGAAGUGGCCACCAGAGUGCAACUUGCACACAACUAGCUCUCACAACAAGCCUUUUGGAAUGCAUAAACUCAUAACGUAGAACAAAUGUCCAAUUAUCUGGGGAAAAUCGCUGAUACUCAUCAUCUGAUCAGAAACUGCACAGUAUAGUCAAGAGAGCAUUUUUCUGCUGAGGGCAUCUGCUACAUUUGUUCUCUAUGCCCGCUCUCUGUUUGGGGUUAAAGGUGAACUCCUGAAUAUAUGCACUCCACUUGGUAAUGCCAUGGCACUCAAUUUCCUUUUGGAGUUUAGGUACCCCAAGGCCUCAUGGUCAGAAUGGAGCACUAACUUUGGAUGAAAUAGAUGGUGUCUCUGUUUCCUGGAUCAGAACACACAUACCUACCCGACAGCAUCACAUGCUGCUUUGAAGACUUGGCAGCUUUUUAAACUCUUCAAAAGCGUCAAUCGCUGCUUUAGUCUAUUCAAAGGAACCUGCUUGUGUGCACUCAGUAAUUGGUGCCAUGAUGGAACUGAAGUUCCUAAUAAACGUUCAAUACAAGACUGUUAGCAUGUGAACUGUGAACCGUGAGAAUGCUUGCCGGAGCCAGCUGGUCAAGGGUAGCCUUUAUCUUGUCAGAAUCAGCCUUGGCAUGUUCAGUUGACAUAAUGCAUCCUGGGAAGACUACGUUGUGUUACACUUCUUCAAGUGCAUGAAGAUUUUCUCUUUAUGGUGAACUCCCAUCAAUUGUCGUAGAUCGAUUAAAGGAUCAUCAGGUGAACAACUGUAUAUGAGAUUAUAAGAAAUAUCAUCAAAAUAAAUAAGCCUAUGAAUGGCCGUAGGAUCUUUAUCAUCAUCUGCAUUGCUAUCACACACUUUUGUCAGGUACCAUCCUUCAUUGGCAUCGUAGCAUAGCUGCAUAGGCACCUGCAAGAUGAUUGUUUUGGAUCCUGGUGGAAUUCAAAGAUUGAGUACCUCUUUUCCCUCUAUUUCAGCCUUUGGUUAGUAGUUGAUUGGUCCGCAGGUUCGUCCUUCACCUUCUUCAGGCCUGUCCAUGCGUGUUCUUCAUCAUACCGUUCGAGACUUUGAGCUAAUACAAAUUUAAAUUUGGUGUUUUCCAAUUUGUCAUCUACUAAUCAAAGACUUCUUCAUC
Molecule: long non-coding RNA, 1463 nt
Organism: Magnolia sinica
Lineage: Eukaryota; Viridiplantae; Streptophyta; Magnoliopsida; Magnoliales; Magnoliaceae
Exons: 3
Source: RefSeq, a predicted model, not a curated record